Molecule: unclassified non-coding RNA, 242 nt
Filed under: uncultured fungus
Lineage: Eukaryota; Fungi
Description: sequence contains ITS1, 5.8S rRNA gene
Rfam family: 5.8S ribosomal RNA (bases 194-242)
Source: RNAcentral
UCUCCGUAGGUGAACCUGCGGAGGGAUCAUUACAGAGCAUCAUGCCCUUCGGGGUAGAUCUCCCACCCUAUGUAUUUAUACCUUUUGUUGCUUUGGCGGGCCGCCUCGGCCACCGGCUCCGGCUGGGGAGUGUCUGCCAGAGGACCCCAACUCUUUUGUUUAAAUGUCGUCUGAGUACUAUAUAAUAAGUUAAAACUUUCAACAACGGAUCUCUUGGUUCUGGCAUCGAUGAAGAACGCAGC